CAAGCGGUGGAGCAUGUGGUUUAAUUCGACGCAACGCGAAGAACCUUACCUGGGCUCGAACGGCUUCUGACCGGUUCUGGAAACAGGACCUUUCCCGCAAGGGACAGGAGUCGGGGUGCUGCAUGGCUGUCGUCAGCUCGUGUCGUGAGAUGUUGGGUUAAGUCCCGCAACGAGCGCAACCCUUGUCCUGUGUUGCAACCCGAAAGGGGCACUCUCAGGAGACCGCCAGCGAUAAGCUGGAGGAAGGUGGGGAUGACGUCAAGUCAGCAUGGCCUUUAUGUCUGGGGCUACACACGUGCUACAAUGGCCGGUACAAACCGUCGCGAUACCGCAAGGUGGAGCUAAUCGGAGAAAGCCGGCCUCAGUUCGGAUUGUAGGCUGCAACUCGCCUGCAUGAAGUUGGAAUCGCUAGUAAUCGCGGAUCAGCACGCCGCGGUGAAUACGUUCCCGGGCCUUGUACACA
RNAcentral lists this ribosomal RNA (463 nucleotides) under uncultured bacterium. RNAcentral describes it as "bacterial SSU rRNA". It matches the Rfam family "Bacterial small subunit ribosomal RNA", at positions 926 to 1389 of the family's 1533-position model. The record is from RNAcentral.